RNAcentral lists this ribosomal RNA (231 nucleotides) under uncultured bacterium. RNAcentral's name for it is "partial 16S ribosomal RNA". It matches the Rfam family "Bacterial small subunit ribosomal RNA", at positions 118 to 347 of the family's 1533-position model. The record is from RNAcentral.
UGAGUAAUUUGCCCUUCUCUUUGGAAUAAGCGUUGGAAACGACGUCUAAUGCCGAAUACGACCUCCUUUCGCAUGAUCGGAGGUGGAAAGCUCCGGCGGAGAAGGAUGAGCUCGCGGCCUAUCAGCUAGUUGGUGUGGGUAAUGGCCCACCAAGGCGACGACGGGUAGCCGGCCUGAGAGGGUGACCGGCCACACUGGGACUGAGACACGGCCCAGACUCCUACGGGAGCA